CCCCUAGAUGUUCUGGGCCGCACGCGCGCUACACUGAACAGUUCAACAAGUCUUAACCUUGGCCGAUAGGUCUGGGUAAUCUUUGAACGCUGUUCGUGAUUGGGAUAGACCUUUGCAAUUAUGGGUCUUCAACGAGGAAUUCCUAGUAAACGCAAGUCAUCAGCUUGCAUUGAUUACGUCCCUGCCCUUUGUACACACCGCCCGUCGCUCCUACCGAUUGAAUGUGUUGGUGAGGAGCUCGGAUUGGCAGCAGUUGGUGGUUCGCCACCGGCUAUUGCUGAGAAGUCCUCCAAACCGCCCCAUUUAGAGGAAGGAGAAGUCGUANCA
Molecule: ribosomal RNA, 327 nt
Filed under: uncultured eukaryote
Lineage: Eukaryota
Description: partial 18S ribosomal RNA
Rfam family: Eukaryotic small subunit ribosomal RNA
Source: RNAcentral